Molecule: ribosomal RNA, 361 nt
Filed under: Stutzerimonas stutzeri
Lineage: Bacteria; Pseudomonadati; Pseudomonadota; Gammaproteobacteria; Pseudomonadales; Pseudomonadaceae
Description: bacterial SSU rRNA
Rfam family: Bacterial small subunit ribosomal RNA
Source: RNAcentral
AUGAGUGGAGCUUGCUCCAUGAUUCAGCGGCGGACGGGUGAGUAAUGCCUAGGAAUCUGCCUGGUAGUGGGGGACAACGUUUCGAAAGGAACGCUAAUACCGCAUACGUCCUACGGGAGAAAGUGGGGGAUCUUCGGACCUCACGCUAUCAGAUGAGCCUAGGUCGGAUUAGCUAGUUGGUGAGGUAAAGGCUCACCAAGGCGACGAUCCGUAACUGGUCUGAGAGGAUGAUCAGUCACACUGGAACUGAGACACGGUCCAGACUCCUACGGGAGGCAGCAGUGGGGAAUAUUGGACAAUGGGCGAAAGCCUGAUCCAGCCAUGCCGCGUGUGUGAAGAAGGUCGUCGGAUUGUAAAGCAC